GACGAACCGUGCGAACGUUAUUCGGUAUCACUGGGCUUAAAGCGCGUGUAGGCGGGCGGGUACGUCGGCGACUGAAAGCCCCCGGCUCAACCGGGGAAGGGGUGCCGAAACGGCCGGCCUGGAGGGGCGUAGGGGGAUCUGGAACUUCCGGUGGAGCGGUGAAAUGCGUUGAGAUCGGAAGGAACGCCCGUGGCGAAAGCGAGGUCCUGGACGCCAUCUGACGCUGAGACGCGAAAGCCAGGGGAGCGAACGGG
RNAcentral lists this ribosomal RNA (254 nucleotides) under uncultured bacterium. RNAcentral describes it as "partial 16S ribosomal RNA". It matches the Rfam family "Bacterial small subunit ribosomal RNA", at positions 524 to 776 of the family's 1533-position model. The record is from RNAcentral.